GUGCAGCAGGCGCGAAAACUUCACAAUGUGGGAAACCACGAUGAGGGAACUCCCAGUGCUUGCGCUUUGCGUGAGCUGUUCUUUUGUCUAAAAAGCACGAGAAGUAAGGGCCGGGUAAGACGGGUGCCAGCCGCCGCGGUAAUACCCGCGACCCGAGUGGUGGUCAUUAUUAUUGAGCCUAAAACGUCCGCAGCCGGUUUGGUAGAUGCCUGGGUAAAUCGAAUCGCUUAACGAUCCGAAUUCCGGGUAGACCGCCAAACUAGGGACCGGGAGAGGUGUGAGGUACUUCUGGGGUAGGGGUAAAAUCCUGUAAUCCUAGGAGGAACACCAGUGGCGAAAGCGUCCCACUAGAACGGAUCCGACGGUAAGGGACGAAGCCCUGGGGCGCAAACGGGAUUAGAUACCCCGGUAGUCC
Molecule: ribosomal RNA, 415 nt
Filed under: uncultured Thermoplasmata archaeon
Lineage: Archaea; Methanobacteriati; Thermoplasmatota; Thermoplasmata
Description: partial 16S ribosomal RNA
Rfam family: Archaeal small subunit ribosomal RNA
Source: RNAcentral